AUGAACGCUGGCGGUGUGCCUCAUACAUGCAAGUCGAGCGAACAGACGAGGAGCUUACUCCUCUGACGUUAGCGGCGGACGGGUGAGUAACACGUGGAUAACCUACCUAUAAGACUGGGAUAACUUCGGGAAACCGGAGCUAAUACCGGAUAACAUGUUGAACCGCAUGGUUCAACAGUGAAAGACGGUCUUGCUGUCACUUAUAGAUGGAUCCGCGUCGCAUUAGCUAGUUGGUAAGGUAACGGCUUACCAAGGCAACGAUGCGUAGCCGACCUGAGAGGGUGAUCGGCCACACUGGAACUGAGACACGGUCCAGACUCCUACGGGAGGCAGCAGUAGGGAAUCUUCCGCAAUGGGCGAAAGCCUGACGGAGCAACGCCGCGUGAGUGAAGAAGGUCUUCGGAUCGUAAAACUCUGUUAUUAGGGAAGAACAAAUAUGUAAGUAACUAUGCACGUCUUGACGGUACCUAAUCAGAAAGCCACGGCUAACUACGUG
This 496-nucleotide ribosomal RNA is filed under the name uncultured bacterium. RNAcentral describes it as "partial 16S ribosomal RNA". It matches the Rfam family "Bacterial small subunit ribosomal RNA", at positions 29 to 507 of the family's 1533-position model. The record is from RNAcentral.